RNAcentral lists this long non-coding RNA (2209 nucleotides) under Salmo salar (Atlantic salmon). RNAcentral describes it as "lncRNA (ENSSSAG00000111396.1)". Lineage: Eukaryota; Metazoa; Chordata; Actinopteri; Salmoniformes; Salmonidae. The record is from RNAcentral.
GUUCGACACAUAUAACAACACAGAGUUACACAUGGAGUAAAACAAACAUACAGUCAAUAAUACAGUAGAAAAAUAAGUCUAUAUACAAUGUGAGCAAAUGAGGUGAGAUACAUUUACAUUUUAGUCAUUUAGCAGACGCUCUUAUCCAGAGCGACUUACAGAGAUAAGGGAGGUAAAGGCAAUAAAUAGGCCAUGGUGGCGAAGUAAAUACAAUAUAGCAAUUAAAACACUGGAAUGGUAGAUUUGACAGUAGAUGAGUGUGCAAAGUAGAAAUACUGGGGUGCAAAGGAGCUAAAUAAAUAUAUACAGUAGGGGAAGGUGUAGUUGUUUGGGCUAUUUAUAGAUGGGAUAUGUACAAGUGCAGUGAUCUGUGAGCUGCUCUGACAGCUGGUGCUUAAAGCUAGUGUGGGAGAUAAGUGUUUCCAGUUUCAGAUAUUUUUGUAGUUCGUUCCAGUCAUUGGCAGCAGAGAACUGGAAGGAGUGGUGGCCAAAGGAGGAAUUGGCUACCUUGAAUUUCUACCUUGAAGUAGAGCCGUGGCUUUCGUGGAGCGAUGGGUAAUACUGCUUCGAGGGUGGCUGUUGUCAAUGUGUGCAGAGGGUCCCUGGGGCGAGGAGAGGGACGGAAGCAAACCAUUUUAAUCAGGAGAAUCUCCUCUUUGUAAUCAUGUAAGUCUGGGCAGCGAGCUCGCUAGAUCAGAAAUAGUCUGAAGUUUUUUUAUUUUUUCCCUAAUUUUUCAUUACGCAGACAUAAGCACAGUUGACACAAUCGAGGUGCGGAUGUUUACUUUCUACACAAGUUUUUUUUCUUCCAGUUUCGUCCGACGAACAGAUUGUAGUGGUAAAAUAAAAAGGGAUACAUUUUUUUAUGGAAUUCUAAGCAUCACUCCAGUCAAAACAGGCUCUGCGAACGUUCGAUUCCAUUAAUUUGCUAUGGGCUCGCGCUAGUGUUCCAGUUUAGCCAACGUUCUUAAGCCGUUUUUCAGCCUCGGUGAAUUUUGACUCGUUGCUGGACAAUUUAUGAAAGCACCCGAAUGUCCAUUGAGAAAGCACAACGACUAUACCAUUUAGCUAAGCAUGACAAGAAUAAUCAAGUCAAUAAACAUUGGGUAGUUAGAUAGCCUAUAGUUAAUAUACUGGCCAGUUUGAUGUAUAACUACUGUUAGGUAGCUAGCUAACAUACCAGUACAUACUGCUGUAAUGAUAUGCUAUGUGGUUCGUAAGGACAGCGUAGCUAACAAAUUGCCAGCCAACAUAAAAUGUAAGGUAAGUUAUUUGAAAAGUCAUUACUUUUUUACAUUGAGUAGCAAGCUACCCCUUGGUCUUUAGGGCAAAUCUGGUCUAGGAGGGGGGUUUUCACACCUAGCUCGGCUAGUAGACUAUUCAUUAGUGAAGGUUGAAUAGUCUAUUGUUCAGCUAUUAGCCCCCCUCCACGCGUCAUCAUUCUGCUCCUGAGUGGCUCGCUUGUGGGUGUGCUGGCAGGAUAUGGCAGCAAUUUUGGUUGUGCGUCAAUAAUUCUGCAUACAGUAGCACGUUUGCAGAAUUGUUACAUGCUGUGGAGAGAGCGAGCUGAUCAAGGGGUCGAAAAUGUAGAUAUUGCCAGAUGUUCACUGUCCGAGGAUCAGGCCGUGGAAGCUUUUUUGCUGGCAAAGUGUCCAUAACCAGAGGUUAUACCAGCUGUUUUGGUGAACCCCUCCCGCCUCUGAACUGGCUGACACAGAGGCCACAGCAUGUCACUUGGUCAGGUCAACAGGAAGCAUUAUUAAAGAGAUGCUUUACAUUGAAAUACAGACAGAGAUGUAGUAGUCCCAGAGUGACUGACCUUGUUAGAAUAAAACAAAACAAGGCUUAGUCAUGCACUCUCUCUAUCCAUCAGUCACUCGUCUGCAGGUAUGUUUUGAUGUGAGAGAGGAAGCCAGUCCCAUCAUCGCCACCUCACCCGCUCUUAAGAUAACCUUCGGGCCAACUGGGGGCCCAAGGCUGGUUAGGAGACACAGCUGAGAGAAUAUUAGGGUAGCACUGUAAUUCAUUAAUCAUAUGCUGUCUGCUGCUGUUCUAACCUCUUUCCCUUUCUGUCUUCUACACCUUUCUCCCCACCUCAUCUUUCUUCCUCAUUUUAUAAUGUGCAUUGAAGUACAGAUUGAACUUGUAUUUAUAAUACUACAAUUAUCAUAAUUAUAAUGCAUUUAUUAUGUAUUUAUAACACUUGGAU